GCCCUACGGGGUGCAGCAGGCGCGAAAACUUUACAAUGCUGGCAACAGCGAUAAGGGAACCUCGAGUGCCAGGUUACAAAUCUGGCUGUCGAGAUGCCUAAAAAGCAUUUCAUAGCAAGGGCCGGGCAAGACCGGUGCCAGCCGCCGCGGUAACACCGGCGGCUCGAGUGGUAACCGUUAUUAUUGGGUCUAAAGGGUCUGUAGCCGGCCGGAUAAGUCUCUUGAGAAAUCUGGCAGCUUAACUGUCAGGCUUCCAGGAGAUACUGUCUGGCUCGAGGCCGGGAGAGGUGAGAGGUACUUCAGGGGUAGGGGUGAAAUCUUGUAAUCCUUGAAGGACCACCAGUGGCGAAGGCGUCUCACCAGAACGGACCUGACGGCAAGGGACGAAAGCUAGGGGCACGAACCGGAUUAGAUACCCGGGUAGUCCUAGCCGUAAACGAUACUCGCUAGGUGUCGGCCACGGUGCGACCGUUGUCGGUGCCGUAGGGAAGCCGUGAAGCGAGCCACCUGGGAAGUACGGCCGCAAGGCUGAAACUUAAAGGAAUUGGCGGGGGAGCACCACAACGGGUGGAGCUUGCGGUUUAAUUGGAUUCAACGCCGGAAAUCUUAC
This 610-nucleotide ribosomal RNA is filed under the name uncultured archaeon. RNAcentral's name for it is "bacterial SSU rRNA". It matches the Rfam family "Archaeal small subunit ribosomal RNA", at positions 320 to 930 of the family's 1478-position model. The record is from RNAcentral.